UACCAGCACCCCGAGUGGUCGGGACGAUUAUUGGGCCUAAAGCAUCCGUAGCCGGUUCUACAAGUCUUCCGUUAAAUCCACCUGCUUAACAGAUGGGCUGCGGAGGAUACUAUAGAGCUAGGAGGCGGGAGAGGCAAGCGGUACUUAGUGGGUAGGGGUAAAAUCCGUUGAUCCAUUGAAGACCACCAGUGGCGAAGGCGGCUUGCCAGAACGCACUCGACGGUGAGGGAUGAAAGCUGAGGGAGCAAACCGG
RNAcentral lists this ribosomal RNA (253 nucleotides) under uncultured bacterium. RNAcentral's name for it is "partial 16S ribosomal RNA". It matches the Rfam family "Archaeal small subunit ribosomal RNA", at positions 474 to 727 of the family's 1478-position model. The record is from RNAcentral.